AGUGAACGCUGGCGGUAGGCCUAACACAUGCAAGUCGAACGGCAGCACAGUAAGAGCUUGCUCUUACGGGUGGCGAGUGGCGGACGGGUGAAGAAUCCAUCGGAAUCUACUUUUCAGUGGGGGAUAACGUAGGGAAACUUACGCUAAUACCGCAUACGACCUACGGGUGAAAGCAGGGGAUCUUCGCACCUUGCGCGAUUGAAUGAGCCGAUGUCGGAUUAGCUAGUUGGCGGGUUAAAGGCCCACCAAGGCGACGAUCCGUAGCUGGUCUGAGUGGAUGAUCAGCCACGCUGGAAGUGAAAGACGGGCCAGACUCCGACGGGAAGAAGGAGUGGGGAAUAUUGGAAAAUGGGCGCAAGCCUGAUCCAGCCAUACCGGGUGGGUGAAGAAGGCAUUGGGGUUGGAAAGCCCUAUUGUUGGGAGAGAAAAGCAGCAUGUUAAUGACACGCUGUUCUGACGGUACCCAAAGAAUAAGCACCGGCUAACUUCGUG
Molecule: ribosomal RNA, 492 nt
Filed under: uncultured bacterium
Lineage: Bacteria
Description: partial 16S ribosomal RNA
Rfam family: Bacterial small subunit ribosomal RNA
Source: RNAcentral